RNAcentral lists this ribosomal RNA (253 nucleotides) under uncultured bacterium. Its description in RNAcentral is "partial 16S ribosomal RNA". It matches the Rfam family "Bacterial small subunit ribosomal RNA", at positions 524 to 776 of the family's 1533-position model. The record is from RNAcentral.
UACGGAGGGUGCAAGCGUUAUCCGGAUUUACUGGGUUUAAAGGGUGCGUAGGCGGGCUUUUAAGUCAGUGGUGAAGUCUCCGAGCUCAACUUGGAAACUGCCAUUGAUACUAUUAGUCUUGAAUGUUGUUGAGGUGGGCGGAAUAAGUCAUGUAGCGGUGAAAUGCUUAGAUAUGACUUAGAACACCGAUUGCGAAGGCAGCUCACUAAACAAUGAUUGACGCUGAGGCACGAAAGCGUGGGGAUCAAACAGG